GGGUGAGACCACCGAGAAUUUCACUGCCCUCUUCCAGUGGCACAGCUCAAGACACAUGCAGGGGCAAGCUUCUGGCUCAGCAAUCUAGGAAUUGAAUGGUACAUCUACAGUGAGUCCUGUUUGAUAAGCAAAGCCUGCCAAAAUGCAGAUUCCUCUAAUUCCAAGGCAAUCACAGACUGUUUAAUCUGGUUUGUAUCCAAACUGAGGAUGGGCAGUUUGGAUGUAAGUAGGAGAACGAGAGGUCGGUGAAUUCAGGCACCUUCCUCCUACUAGUUAAUAUGUGAAAUGCCUCAACUCAGCACAUUGAGAACAGCACCAGAUAUAACUUGUUUUUUCUAAAUAAUCACAAGCACGUGAGAUCACUAAGACAGCCAUCUUUGAUUAUAUUCUUCAGGCCUCUCUGCACAUAAUGCAAAUCCCUUUAAAAAACAAUGAAUUAAAUAACAACAACAACAAUAAUGUAUGUGCACUAGAAGAGCAAGCCUGGACCAAGGAGACGAUGCUCCACCCUAAAUACCCUUGAGCUGCAUCUCCUUUCCUAUGAAGAGAGAAGCACUCGGAUAAAACAGUGAUGUGAGACUUUCUCCAUGACAACAGCUGGAAAGGAGCCUGGGGUCCGGAAGUGGUCCCACAAGGAGAUGCUUUCACCACCAAGUAAGCUUUUUUCCCCUCCGGUCAAUUAAAACUUUAGCAGCAUUGCACAAAAGCAGCCCACAAAGACCUAAUGGGAAAAAGAUUAGGAGACAGUUUGCUCUGAAUAGCCUGCAGUUUUGUUUAGUUUUAUCAUCAUCUAAAUCCACCCUAGGAAAUUUAUACAUUUUCUGCCACUGUCCUUUAACAGUUUGCAGCAGGAUCUGCCAGAGGAGUCAAAACAUAUUUUCCCAUGUUCAGAUGAUCUUGCAACACAAGUUACUAUCAUUACAUGUAGCAUUUUACACUUUGCUCCAGUACCACCUAUUGACCAGCUUAGAAAAAUAUUCCUGUUUAACAGUAGAAUUUAGAUGCCUUAAUAACAUCUCAUACAAGUGCACUGGCUUUUUGCAAAGAAAAAGACUUUGUCUGUUGGAACUAUUCCUACAGUUCAAAACCUCUCUGCCUGAAAUUAGCAGUAUGUACCAGUAAGUCAUCUUUUUAAGUUAGAAAAACACAACAUGUCAUGACAAAGCAGGAUGCUCCUCUCUGUAAUCUCCUGAUAAACACAUGCAUUUUACAUAAAGUGCAAAUUAUAUUGAAAGCUUUACUUCAAAUCUAAGCCCAUCAAAGGAUCAAACCAGCAGCAACAUUUUAUGAUCUCAUCGGACUUACAAGAGACAGGGUGCAGCAUUUGGCAAAGUGGUUCACUGAGUGCAUGACAUCUGACAGAGCUACAGCAAGCUACACUGAACUGAUCUGAACACUUAGAGUGAUCUAAAAGACUGAAUAAAAUUUUCACAAAGAAAAAGCACAAAAAAUGGAGAAAAAAACACAGCCAAACAUUACAUGAUGCAAUGAAAGGUAGGAGAUGUAGAAGAACUAGAGUGUUCUUAUUUUCUUGCUACUAAUAUUUCUGACAUUCCUGAAUGGUUUCCUGCACCAAUAAGAACCAGUAACAUAAGCACAGCAUGAAAAAAGUUCUUUAUGCAUUGCUGUUGUUCUUAUUCAUUUGUCAGCAUGUGGUAAGUUAAUGAAUACAUAGAGGAAAGGUUCUUCAAAAUGAGUUCUGAAAAACAUGAUUUUAUCCUGCACUUUUUCUUGUAAGGUCCAAUUUUGUUUUGGGUUUGCCUACUAUUUUAACCAAAUUCCCAGGUUACAAAUUUACUGAUUAUUUCAAAACCAGUUACCUGACCUUUCCUAUGUGCAUGAAUCUGCUUUAAAUUAAAAGCAAAUAAUAUAAUAUUUACAAUUUAAAUUUUAUAUCCUCCCCUCGCCCUCAGUACUGUUAGUACUUGUUAUUUUUUACUUGUAUCAGAAUUUAAUCUUUAAAUUUCAAAAACGAGUAUGCAAUAAUUUUCUGAUCUGAUGUUGUAAGGUAGAUUUAACACCCAAACAUCAUUAUGAUUUCAGUCUGAUUUCAGGAAGAGACAGUUCUACAGAGUGCAAUGAAGAACAGAUUAUUGCAAAGAUUGAAGACAAUGCACAAAAUUAGACAUGGUGACAGCUGCAAAUCAACUAAUAUAUUUUCAGUCUCUGCAUAACAUUAGGGCUUCUCAGUUGAUUAAUGAAGUAAGAAGUUAUGGGAUAUAUAUAUUAUGAGAGUAUGUUUUCAGAAUCAAUGGAGAGAAAACCUCUCCACAUUGCACAUCACUAAAACCACCACAGUAUACCAACGCACUUACAAUUUGACAUGGAGUCCAUUCUGAAAAAAAA
Long non-coding RNA from Oxyura jamaicensis (ruddy duck), 2346 nucleotides. RefSeq lists it as uncharacterized. Lineage: Eukaryota; Metazoa; Chordata; Aves; Anseriformes; Anatidae. The transcript is spliced from 3 exons. The record is from RefSeq and is a predicted model, not a curated record.